UGUUUAGACCAGAGAGACGACCGUAGAUGAACCAAGUCAUUUCCUUGUUAAAUGAAAUUUAGCGUGUCGUUUUGAGCGGUGCGACGUCAGGGAUCUCCUCCUACAGACGAGUAAGAUUGUGAAGGAUGUCGUCAGCCACGCCGCAUGUGUAAAGACUCUAGCUAGAGUUCAUAGCCGAGUGAGAAACUUAACGUCAUCUUACAAUCAGCGAAAUUCACUGAGGAAGAUGUUCUUGUUCUGUGGCCAGUAAGGUAAGGUUGUCGGCUGGCGAAACGCUGGAUGUGUGUAUUAUCGAAUAAUCUCUUUUUAAUGUCGCAUAAGUGGUCAAUUACAUCACAGCAGGUUUGGUGUUGACAUUACUUGACGAUACUUUGUUAAUUUUAGCUAAGGAUAGCCACGUUGUUACUUAAUGAUGCCUUCGGUUGCUAAGUUGUAGGAAUUCUGACUGUUUGUAGGUUACCUGAAAUGGAGCAUCAAAGUAUUGAGGUAAUUUGCAGGAGUUGUUUUAUAAAUAUCUAUAGCGAUGAAAAUCGUAACAUGACCUAUUUAAGUUAGCCGGUUAGAUUACCCACAUCUAUGGAAAGAUGCUGAUGUGACACCAAGACGCCUGCUUGUUGGCGGCAUGGUUGGUAUGUCGCUAGCCAGCUAGCUAGCUAACGUUUAAUAGUGAAUAAUUUAAGCAGCUAACUCGAGUAACGUUGGAUGACCAUUCCAACUCUAUCAGUUCCGUGGUGAACGUAAGCGGUAUUUGAUGUAAGUGUGAUUCAGAAGGUGGUAUGGUUCAUUAGAUGCGACUAACUAGUAUAAUAAAAGGUUACUUUAACCACCCUCCCACCCAGCUAGCUAGCAGUUGUAGCGUGUGACAUUAAGCGUAAGCCAGAAAGCAUGGUUUCCGAGGAAACCCGAUGUGUGUCAUGUUGCCUCCUCUAAGUUUCCUGUUUUUACUAUUUUCUUGGCCCCGCCACCUCUGCAUAAUGUCACACAUCAAUGGCCAGAUAAACACGCGAAGAGUUAUCGGUUGUCAACAGCUCCAAAGCUGGGCAACUGGAUUAAGCACAGGCAUCAGCUCUUGCCCACCGUGUGCUUUGCGGAUGCUUAGCGGAACUGCUGCGGCUCGUCAUUGACAAGUGACCCUAAAAGUGAAGAUCAGAAAGCUAACUAGUUGUGACCAGGAAUCAGUCACCUUACUUAUAACCCUCGUUCAGAGAGAGAGAGAGAGAGAGAGAGAGCAACGGAAAACUACUAACUUACCGACAUAGUACAAUUAUAGGCUACAUUUGGUUACUAUAAAAUACACACGUAGCCUGCGCAUUCCCCUUUCUUAACAUGUAUUUGCUACAAUGGAUUAAUUUAAUAUAAUAUAAUAUUUGUAUUUCUGUCAAGUCUGUGACGUAUAGCCCAGACAUGAAACUGCAGUCAAGGUGUCAGUUUAUGUAAUGUUGCUGGUAUGAUGUCAAUAUGACUAUUGAAACAUCUUUAAUGGCCAUUUUAGCUGACAAAUGCUUUCCUCACGCGUGAAUCCACACCUAAACUCUUCAUGAGUCGCGGCUGCAGAUCGGGCCGCACAUGAGACACCAGUAGCCUAAACAAGGGCGCCUGAAGGAAAACCAACAGGUGACACAGCCGUCACGCACACGCAAUGCUUAACUAACUAGCGCUUAACUUGCACUUCAGCAGUUACAUUCCUGCAGUUCUUUUUCCUUUCUAGGUCGUUUUUCUAAUUCUUAUGUUAGGUAGUAUUUAUUGUUACACCAUGUUUUUUAUUGUUCUUAGCUUGACUGUUCUCUCCCUUGUACGUCGCUUUGGACAAAAGCGUCUGCUAAAUGACUAAAUGUAAAUGCAAUGCUUGUGGUAUGAAACGGCCCAACGACACGACUCGUGGAACUCCUGCAGAUUAUAAAUCUACCAAAUGAAAUAAAAGUAGAUAUUUUUUUUGUUUGUUAUUAAACUUCAAAGGGUUAUUCGUGAUUGGUUAUGUCUGGUGGCUCUAGUCUAGUGCAAUGUUUUGCAUAUACAGGCGCAAGGCAGGUGGUUUUUACGCAUGGCACAUUUUUUUUUUAUCGGAGCGGGCAAGAGCAGCGCUUAAAAAUCCAUCGCGUCUUAACGUCCACCUGCGGGAUUUUUUUUGGCGGAAGCGGGAAAAACCGUGAAAGAUGUGGGCGGUAGCCGAACCAAAUAGUACAUAGUUUUGCGAGAGCCGACGGGAGAGGGACAAAUUGUUCUGAUCUAGAGUUGACUUUCUACUGAGCAGUUUGAAGAAAAAAAAAACGUUCCCAACGACGCUGAUUCUAGUCAUGAUUAUGAACACAUGUCUCCACGUGCCCCCCGCGUCUCUACGUGCAGUAGAGGUACAAACAGUAGCUGUGAAUAAUUUGACCAACUGUAAGCAUGAAAAAAAAACUACAAUCUAUUUGUUUGAUAGCAACGUGAUUUUUAAGCAGGUUGUAGCUUCCAAAACAGACGGAUUGGGUUGUUUUGUCCCGGUGUGUGUCUUCUAUUGGUUUCCCUAGCAACCAGUGCCAGGUGUCCCCGAACAGACAUCACAAAUCUGAUCGACGGGCAACGUCGUCGGCAGUCCAUCCGGUUUGUCCUAAGUGGAUUUCAGAAGUGAAAUUGAUGACUGAGCUCCUCUGACAUUGUCAUUAGCGAAAAACAGACCCAGUUUGUGAAGGCCAUUUGUUCUGUCAUCUUCUUCCACCCAGACUGUUGCCUGUUCUCAAGAAAAACUGUGGCAUGACCUGGUGGAGGCCACUGGCUGUAGUUUGCAGAGCUAAUGCCCAAAGAUAACGUCCUAGAUAAGAGACAAGGCUGGAAGAAUCUGGUCCGCGUGCGUGCGCCCUC
Clupea harengus (Atlantic herring) is the source of this 2841-nucleotide long non-coding RNA. The record is from Ensembl. Lineage: Eukaryota; Metazoa; Chordata; Actinopteri; Clupeiformes; Clupeidae.